RNAcentral lists this ribosomal RNA (642 nucleotides) under Pleurotus ostreatus (oyster mushroom). RNAcentral describes it as "eukaryotic LSU rRNA". The stretch from base 237 to 390 matches the Rfam family "5.8S ribosomal RNA". The record is from RNAcentral. Lineage: Eukaryota; Fungi; Basidiomycota; Agaricomycetes; Agaricales; Pleurotaceae.
GGAUCUGUCGAUUACUAUGGAGUUGUUGCUGGCCUCUAGGGGCAUGUGCACGCUUCACUAGUCUUUCAACCACCUGUGAACUUUUGAUAGAUCUGUGAAGUCGUCUCUCAAGUCGUCAGACUUGGUUGCUGGGAUUUAAACGUCUCGGUGUGACUACGCAGUCUAUUUACUUACACACCCCAAAUGUAUGUCUACGAAUGUCAUUUAAUGGGCCUUGUGCCUUUAAACCAUAAUACAACUUUCAACAACGGAUCUCUUGGCUCUCGCAUCGAUGAAGAACGCAGCGAAAUGCGAUAAGUAAUGUGAAUUGCAGAAUUCAGUGAAUCAUCGAAUCUUUGAACGCACCUUGCGCCCCUUGGUAUUCCGAGGGGCAUGCCUGUUUGAGUGUCAUUAAAUUCUCAAACUCACUUUGGUUUCUUUCCAAUUGUGAUGUUUGGAUUGUUGGGGGCUGCUGGCCUUGACAGGUCGGCUCCUCUUAAAUGCAUUAGCAGGACUUCUCAUUGCCUCUGCGCAUGAUGUGAUAAUUAUCACUCAUCAAUAGCACGCAUGAAUAGAGUCCAGCUCUCUAAUCGUCCGCAAGGACAAUUUGACAAUUUGACCUCAAAUCAGGUAGGACUACCCGCUGAACUUAAGCAUAUCAAA